This is a long non-coding RNA of Triticum dicoccoides, 1167 nucleotides long. RefSeq lists it as uncharacterized. Lineage: Eukaryota; Viridiplantae; Streptophyta; Magnoliopsida; Poales; Poaceae. The transcript is spliced from 6 exons. The record is from RefSeq and is a predicted model, not a curated record.
AGCAUGGAUGACAAAUUUUGUUUAUCUAGGUUGUCAUAAUUAAUUUGCUUAGUGGAUUUUCAUAAGUAAUUCACAUGCUAUAACUUGGAGGACAGAACUUAGCCAUGCACUAUGCAUGUUAACUAUGAUGGUACUUUGGGAAAAUGGCAUGAUUAGACUGACUUUAUAUGUAAUUGGUGUUAGAAAUGUACUUCCUCCGUCCGGAAGUACUUGUAAGAAAAAUGGAUGUAUCUAGAACUAAAGUACGUCUAGAUACAUCCAUUUCUCCGACAAGUAUUUCCGGAUGGAGGGAGUAUUUUGUGCUGAGGCUGGCGCCAGCAUUGGUGCUUCCCAGGAUGAUGACGAUGACGUUGUAGAGCUCGUCCCUAGAAAGACUUUCAAGAAGCUGCGGAGGAGAAGAUAGAACCUGAAGUGAAGGAACCAGAGAUGCAGAAUAAGAAAGAUUGUCGUAAUUCAUUGUUGUGAAGGGUUGCUUGUUAGUUUAGGUUUGGCUGGCAUCUACCGUGCCAUAGACAUCCUCUUGUGCCUAUCAUCCAUGGCGGCAACGACAUCGUGAAUGAUUUGGAAAAAUGUAGUAGCAUGGUGGACAAAUGUCAAAAACAGAUCUUGGCUUCAAAGUUACAUUCAAAUAUGUCACUUUCUUUGCAUUCAAGAGGAUUUGGAGCCUCGGUUUGUUGGUGAAGUAACGCUUGAAGGAGAUAUUAAAUUGUUGUUUGUGAUAGCAAGUGACUUGCCUACAACAGAGGACUUUGAGCAUGUCACUGAUUUGGAAAUAUUGAAGGCUCCACCUAUCCCCAUGGGAAUGGCCUGAAGAGCGUUAUCCCCCAUAUCCUGAAGAGAAUUAUCCUUUCAUUUAGCAAAUGUUUUCUCUGCUAGAUUUGUUACUCCUUUCAAGUAUCCUAGGCUAUAGCAAAAGAAGUUACAGGAAACACAAAAGAGGGGAGCUAAAGAUUUUCAGACUGGAGGAUGUUCUCCAAUGAGAUUUAGAAGGAAGGCUUUGAUGUCAAGUACUAGAAGGACACAAGGAUCUUGGUUGAAGGCUGUGAGGAUGUGUAUUUAGUUGCCCACUACAAGGAGCCAAGGCAGAUGAUGUGCCUCUUAAGACAAAUUCUAGAAAAUAAUUUGAGGAAUUUUUGCUCUUAGGCAAUGAACAAUAAUGUUUCCUCU